This 484-nucleotide ribosomal RNA is filed under the name uncultured bacterium. RNAcentral's name for it is "partial 16S ribosomal RNA". It matches the Rfam family "Bacterial small subunit ribosomal RNA", at positions 28 to 523 of the family's 1533-position model. The record is from RNAcentral.
GACGAACGCUGGCGGCGUGCUUAACACAUGCAAGUCGAACGAUGAAGCCGGAGCUUGCUCUGGUGAAUUAGUGGCGAACGGGUGAGUAACACGUGAGUAACCUGCCCUUGACUCUGGGAUAACUGCGGGAAACUGUAGCUAAUACCGGAUACGACCCUCGGAGGCAUCUCCUGGGGGUGGAAAGAAUUUCGGUCAAGGAUGGACUCGCGGCCUAUCAGCUAGUUGGUGAGGUAAAGGCUCACCAAGGCGACGACGGGUAGCCGGCCUGAGAGGGUGACCGGCCAAACGGGGACUGAGACACGGCCCAGACUCCUACGGGAGGCAGCAGUGGGGAAUAUUGCACAAUGGGCGCAAGCCUGAUUCAGCAACGCCGCGUGAGGGAUGACGGCCUUCGGGUUGUAAACCUCUUUUAGCAGGGAAGAAGCGAAAGUGACGGUACCUGCAGAAAAAGCACCGGCUAACUACGUGCCAGCCGCCGCCGUAA